AGACCUCUGAUCAGAAAAGACUACCCGCUGAGUUUAAGCAUAUCACUAAGCGGAGGAGAAGAAACUAACCAGG
Molecule: ribosomal RNA, 73 nt
Filed under: Leucobryum scabrum
Lineage: Eukaryota; Viridiplantae; Streptophyta; Bryopsida; Dicranales; Leucobryaceae
Description: partial 26S rRNA
Rfam family: Eukaryotic large subunit ribosomal RNA
Source: RNAcentral